Long non-coding RNA from Pseudophryne corroboree (corroboree frog), 284 nucleotides. RefSeq lists it as uncharacterized. The record is from RefSeq and is a predicted model, not a curated record. The transcript has 3 exons. NCBI's taxonomy places the organism in Eukaryota, Metazoa, Chordata, Amphibia, Anura, Myobatrachidae.
AGACGUGUAAAGUGAAACUGUCGGAAACCAGAGUGGAAUUUUGUUCCAGCCUAUUUACUUCCAAAUGACUUCCCAGCUGUGCAAAUUCCACACUGACACCAGUAUGAGAUUCCCAGUCACAAUAAACCAUCACAAAGCAUGAAAGAAUCGCCUUGUCCUCUUAGGCAGAAUGUCACCAACGGUAACAAUACAUAAUGUAACCCUGUCAGAUUUCCACCCACAAACUUCACUUUAAAUUGUGGAAGGAAGCAUGCACGCUCCCAGACCUCCUGCUAUCGCACACC